CCGGAGUGAGGCUUUGCUUGCGUUGAUGUCGUAGUAGUUCUGUUUGGAUAGUGUUUUUGGAUCGGCCGCCCUGUGGGUGGUGUGCGGUGUAGUUUGGGUACAGGUUGGAUUGGCCAGUUGGCGGUCCGUUGAGAUUCGGUUAGUAUGAUUGAGUGGUAGCUAGUGAUACAUUUAUAUGUCUACAGAGAGUAUGGUUUGGAUAGCGGUAGUCUAGUGAUAUAUAGCUGUACAGUUUCUU
Molecule: long non-coding RNA, 238 nt
Filed under: Ananas comosus (pineapple)
Lineage: Eukaryota; Viridiplantae; Streptophyta; Magnoliopsida; Poales; Bromeliaceae
Description: long non-coding RNA (ACOM_LNC035535)
Source: RNAcentral